CCGUGCAAAUCCUUAUUGCAAGUGAACCCGUCCUUCUCUUGAUCUCAGGACAAUAUGAAGCUAGGCUUGAUCUGAAAGGCUACAGAAACACAGAUUUGGGAGAGCAAGAUUCAAGCAAAUCCAUGUGACUUGUACAGUAAUGGCCCAAAGUAUAGAUAUAUGUAUAUAUACAUGCAGGAAAGGUGCAAAACCCAGCUUUACCACUUUCUAUCUGUGUGAACCUGUCAGCUAAAAAUUGGCACUUGCCAUCUGCCUCUACAAAAAGUAAGUCACUAGCCACUGCUAGUGACCUUCAACACACCAUGAAAGGAGUUCGGGGUGGAGGUCAGCAAUGAGGCACUCUGUGCUCUAGGAAAAACAGACAGAAUGGGUCUUCAGGUAGUCAGAUAUUUUAAGCAGAAGAGUCUUUGAGCCCAAUUCUUGCAGCUCCCUGUACCUAGAAAAGCACUAAAACCAUUCACACAGACAUCUGCUACUCUUGACUCACAGCAAAUCUCUGCCAAAACAUCUCCAAAAGUCUCGGCACAAGCAUUGCUUUCAGUUGACAACUUUUAACAUGCCACUGAAUUUCUACAGAUUCACUUCCUAAUGUGUAAAUGGGGAUUAAAAACAACAGCUACCUCACAGGCUGUUUCAAGAAUUAACUUCCAAAACAGCACAAUGCAAAUGUUCUUGAUAUUCUUAGUUACCUAACAUAUGCAUGCGCUCUACACACACACUUCACGCUGUUAACUACAGAGAUGUUUUUAAAGACAUAGCAAAGAUGCUCAGAGGCAUACUGAAAUCCGGUUACCUCUGAAAGGAAAGUCAACAGCUCCAGGAAAUCAACCUGGAUAGGUUUCAUUCCAGGGCUGCUGAGAACUUCAAAAAUUCCUUUAAUCUUCGAUCGGGCAGUCCUAACCUAUGACGCUGGGUUCACAGGGAACCAUAAUCGCUCCCACUGUGGGCUCGCCUUCAUUUCAAAGCUCCCUCCAGCGUUCCUGGCUCCCCACCUCUCACUGCCCCACUCCGGGACUCGCUCCUGCUCCAUCGUCCCCUUCAGGACCACUCCACAGAGUCCAUUCUGACCUUUCUGCCUACCGGCUACCGGCCCCGCAACGAGCAUCGGCCAAAAUCCCCUUCACCCCGACCUUUAGAAAACGGAAGACAGAAAAACCACCCAGAGAGGUGGGGCGCCUGGAGAUGAGGGGGCGCCCGGACACCGGGCAUGCGCAGAGGCCGCCGCGAGCCUGGGAGGAGCUGCGACAUCGCUGCGUGGGCGAGAAGCCGCCUCUUUGGGACUGAUAUCGGGGGACCGACCCCGACUGGCCUGUCGCCGCCUGGGUCUCGGGCCCCACUUCUAGGAAGCUCGCGGGCCGGGCAGGCCCGGAUCGGAGCGGAGCGGGGCGGCCGAAGGAGGAGGGCCGCGGCCGGAGGCGGGGGCGGAGCCGGGCGCGGGGCCGGCGGGCCGCCGGGGGCGCUGCGUACCUGGUAGCGGCCGGUGAGCAGCUGGCUCCGCGAUGGCGUGCACAGCGGCUGCGUGUAGUAGUUGUCCAGCAGCACUCCGCCGGCCGCCAGCGCGUCCAGGUGCGGCGUGCGGAUUUCCGAGCCGUGGAAGCCCACGUCGUUCCAGCCCAGGUCGUCCGCCAGCACGAAGACGAGGGCCAUACUGGUGACAUGAAGGUUCCCACGGCAGGGAUUGAAUUGGAGCUGUAGCUGCUGGCCUACUCCACAGCUAUAGCAAGGCGGGAUCCAUGCCUUAUCUGUGACCUACACCACAGCUCACGGCAAUACCAGAUCCUUACCCACUGAACGAGGCCAGGGAUCGAACCUGCGUCUUCAGGAAUACUAGUCAGGUUAACCGCUGAGCCACAAUGGGAAUUCCAAAAAGAGAAUGUUGAAGAGCUAUUUGACUCUCAUUAGGUUAAGGCUUGAAAAUUUCCUUUAAAAACCAUGUAAAAGAUCUUUAAGGACAAAAUUUUCCAUGGUGGCCCUUGCCUGUCCCUCUUUCCAUAACUGUUCCUCCCUACCCUUCAGGAUAGAAAUCAGAUUGCCCAAACCAUGGCUGGUAAUCUGCAGGAACAAUUCCUCCUUUGACCAACUGCUCCAGAAACUACUGAACUUGCACUGCACCUUCCGAUGUCCUGAAUUUUCAAAUAAAAGCUUAUGCUAAAAAUGCUCUGGAAAUGUGCAAAUGAGUUAAUUAAAAAGAGUUAAUUCUAUUUUUCAUUUAUGCAUU
Molecule: long non-coding RNA, 2218 nt
Organism: Sus scrofa (pig)
Lineage: Eukaryota; Metazoa; Chordata; Mammalia; Artiodactyla; Suidae
Source: RefSeq, a predicted model, not a curated record